CUCCUCUCCUGUCUCACUUCUGCAGUGCAGCCCUAUGCUGCACUUUGUGCUCUUUAUUUAUUAUAUUCAUUGAUCAGCAAGACACCGUGUGAAAAAGGAUGUCUCCUUUACCUCAGAAAAAAACCUUCCUCCCUUCCACCAUGGCCCUGUCAUCCAGUGUGCAAUAGCUCGGGUGGCCCUCCACACUGCACUGGGACUUCAGGGACUAAUCACAGAUAGCUGCCCAUCCUAUUUCCAGUUCUCACAGUGACAUUCACCUCAGGGGAGGGCUCGGCAAGGUUGUAGACAAGAGAGGUCUGCAUUUUCCACAGAACUUCUCUCCCCUCGCCGCUGCUGCAGGUCAGACAAGAUCCAGAUCCAUCACUCUUCACCCCUUCACCACCACCACCACCACCAGUGUCUAGACUCCAUCGGGGGGAUAUUACAGCUCAUGGCAUCAGUAUCACCUUAAAAUAAUGACAUCACGAUGGGGUCUAAUAGCCAAACACUCCUCUCAUAUUUCUGCAACUUUCCUAUUGUUCAACUAUGGGAACAAAUGAAUUACUCUCCAAGUUUCCUUUUCACUUGAGUCACUCCUGAAUGGAAUAAAUGGCAGAAACAUCUUUUAUUCUGUCGUCACCUUGA
Long non-coding RNA from Dicentrarchus labrax (European seabass), 624 nucleotides. RefSeq lists it as uncharacterized. The record is from RefSeq and is a predicted model, not a curated record. Lineage: Eukaryota; Metazoa; Chordata; Actinopteri; Moronidae. The transcript is spliced from 4 exons.